This 157-nucleotide non-coding RNA is filed under the name Lotharella globosa. The record is from RNAcentral. Lineage: Eukaryota; Cercozoa; Chlorarachniophyceae.
AUGCGUAUACGCACGAAUCAUUCUAUAAAUAGAUAGAUAGACACAGAUAGAUAGAUUGAUAUUUAGAUAGACAGAGAGAUAGAUAAAUAGAUAGAUAUGUAAAUUGAGUUGCAUCGGAAGGAUUUUUGCAUUUUUUUUUCUUUCUUUCUUUUCCUUA